Molecule: unclassified non-coding RNA, 353 nt
Filed under: soil metagenome
Description: partial contains 5.8S ribosomal RNA, internal transcribed spacer 2, and large subunit ribosomal RNA
Rfam family: 5.8S ribosomal RNA (bases 1-120)
Source: RNAcentral
GAUGAAGAACGCAGCGAAAUGCGAUACGUAAUGUGAAUUGCAGAAUUCAGUGAAUCAUCGAGUCUUUGAACGCACAUUGCGCCCGCCAGUAUUCUGGCGGGCAUGCCUGUUCGAGCGUCAUUACAACCCUCAGGCCCCCGGGCCUGGCGUUGGGGAUCGGCGGAAGCCCCCUGCGGGCACAACGCCGUCCCCCAAAUACAGUGGCGGUCCCGCCGCAGCUUCCAUUGCGUAGUAGCUAACACCUCGCAACUGGAGAGCGGCGCGGCCACGCCGUAAAACACCCAACUUCUGAAUGUUGACCUCGAAUCAGGUAGGAAUACCCGCUGAACUUAAGCAUAUCAAUAAGCGGAGGA